RNAcentral lists this long non-coding RNA (498 nucleotides) under Brassica napus (rape). RNAcentral's name for it is "long non-coding RNA (BNAP_LNC001519)". Lineage: Eukaryota; Viridiplantae; Streptophyta; Magnoliopsida; Brassicales; Brassicaceae. The record is from RNAcentral.
UAUUGUAUUAUAUGAGUUUGGUAACGGGCAGGUGUUGAGGAAGUGAUGUUUAAAAUAAGAAUUCACAAUGAUGAUUGGUAUACUAAAGUAUAGUACUAGUACUUGCAUGAUCAUGUAUAUGUAUUUGAUAAUUGUUUUGUUUAUUAUUGAUUGUGUUGUGAUUAUAGAUUCACUGAGUAAACUAGUUGCUCAUGACUCAUUCGUGUGUGCAGGUAACCCUUAGGUGGGAGACACUUUACUUUUUGGACAGAAGGAACGGCCAACCAGCGGUAGUAUUUUGUUGUCCUUGCAACGUACCUUUUGAUAUAUAUUUACUUAAAACGUUGUUAGGCAAUAGGCCGUAGGAUAAAACUAUAACAAUUUGUAAAAUGUUUAAAGUAAAUAAAUAAUGUAUAAAAAUAUGUUUAUAAAUCACGAGUUCUCAUAUGAUAUUAGUCCUUGUCCGGGACAAACUAACUAUCGAAUAUUGCUUUAUCGGGUUGAAAAGCCUAGAGUAAU